RNAcentral lists this ribosomal RNA (466 nucleotides) under uncultured bacterium. RNAcentral describes it as "partial 16S ribosomal RNA". It matches the Rfam family "Bacterial small subunit ribosomal RNA", at positions 28 to 508 of the family's 1533-position model. The record is from RNAcentral.
GACGAACGCUGGCGGCGUGCUUAACACAUGCAAGUCGAACGGAAAGGCCCCUUUGGGGGUACUCGAGUGGCGAACGGGUGAGUAACACGUGAGUAACCUGCCCUUGACUUCGGGAUAACUUCAGGAAACUGGGGCUAAUACCGGAUAGGAAUCCUUGCUGCAUGGUGGGGGUUGGAAAGCUUCGGCGGUUUUGGAUGGACUCGCGGCUUAUCAGCUUGUUGGUGGGGUAGUGGCUUACCAAGGCUUUGACGGGUAGCCGGCCUGAGAGGGCGACCGGCCACAUUGGGACUGGGAUACGGCCCAGACUCCUACGGGGGGCAGCAGUGGGGAAUAUUGCACAAUGGGCGGAAGCCUGAUGCAGCAACGCCGCGUGCGGGAUGACGGCCUUCGGGUUGUAAACCGCUUUCAGCAGGGGCGAAGCUUGUGGUGACGGUACCUGCAGAAGAAGCACCGGCUAACUACGUGC